RNAcentral lists this long non-coding RNA (574 nucleotides) under Capsicum annuum. RNAcentral's name for it is "long non-coding RNA (CANN_LNC014205)". The record is from RNAcentral. Lineage: Eukaryota; Viridiplantae; Streptophyta; Magnoliopsida; Solanales; Solanaceae.
UCUUGAUUUUUUAUUGCUUGGUCUCGGAUAUGAGUGUUAAUUAGAAGCAUUUUUUUUUAUAAAGUUAAUAUAAUAAUCUAUCAACUUGUCCUUGGAUUGUAAUUUUUAGUUGGAGUUAAGACUCGAUUUGAUUGGGUAUGUGCUCACUACUGUUGGCUUGUGUGAGUCCAUCACAGUAUCAAAGACCUGAUACGUGACCAGGUCUCUAGGCAAAAACACCAAAAGCACAAUGCAGACUACACAGUGACAAGGACUUGAUUUGAUACUGUCUUUGUAUGAGGAAGAAAAAGAACAAUCAAGAACUUAAUAGGAAAUGACAAUAAGGUAAAGACACAAUAUGUUACGUGGAAACUACUUGCUCAAGGGAGAAAACUCAUAAUCUACCCAGUAAGAUUUCACCAACAAAUAUCACCAAAACAAGAACAACGGCAAGAUUACAAACUCUUUCUCUCGUAAUCACAUGGUUAAUAUCUUAUCUCCAUCCCCUUGAGCUAAUGAUACCACUGAUUCAUAAUAUAGUAUGACAAUUAUAGCCUACAAUCAACUAACUUUAAUUGACACACCUUGGCCAACU